AAAUAACAUUUUCGGAAAUCAAUAAAUCUGAAAAUUUCGCGUGUUACAUCUAUGUUUGACGUUCUUGGUUUUCGGAUCAAUAUCGCCAAGCGUUAAUCUGUUUAUAACAACGCCAGUGCACGUUUUCUUUAUAUUCAUUGGUUGCAGAUAUUAUUCUACAGUGUUAAAAUAACUCAAAAUCAAAUUUAAUUUGUGAACAAAUUUAAUAGAUUAAAGGUCUACUUUUACUUUCUCGAUCGCAAUAAAAUCUUAAGAAACAACG
Long non-coding RNA from Drosophila albomicans, 262 nucleotides. RefSeq lists it as uncharacterized. The transcript has 2 exons. NCBI's taxonomy places the organism in Eukaryota, Metazoa, Arthropoda, Insecta, Diptera, Drosophilidae. The record is from RefSeq and is a predicted model, not a curated record.